GGUGUUGCAUGGCUGUCGUCAGCUCGUGUCGUGAGAUGUUGGGUUAAGUCCCGCAACGAGCGCAACCCUCAUCCUUGGUUACCAUCAGGUAAUGCUGGGGACUUUAAGGAAACUGCCAGUGAUAAACUGGAGGAAGGUGGGGAUGAUGUCAAGUCAUCAUGGCCCUUAUGGAGUGGGCUACACACGUGCUACAAUGGUGGCUACAAUGGGCUGCAAAGUCGCGAGGCUAAGCUAAUCCCUUAAAAGCCAUCUCAGUUCGGAUUGUACUCUGCAACUCGAGUGCAUGAAGUUGGAAUCGCUAGUAAUCGUGGAUCAGCACGCCACGGUGAAUACGUUCCCGGGUCUUGUACACAC
RNAcentral lists this ribosomal RNA (354 nucleotides) under uncultured bacterium. RNAcentral describes it as "bacterial SSU rRNA". It matches the Rfam family "Bacterial small subunit ribosomal RNA", at positions 1037 to 1390 of the family's 1533-position model. The record is from RNAcentral.